This 436-nucleotide ribosomal RNA is filed under the name uncultured bacterium. RNAcentral's name for it is "bacterial SSU rRNA". It matches the Rfam family "Bacterial small subunit ribosomal RNA", at positions 28 to 507 of the family's 1533-position model. The record is from RNAcentral.
GAUAAACGCUGGCGGCAUGCCUAAUACAUGCAAGUGGAACGAGUCAUUUCGGUGAUUCGUCGCGAACGGGUGAGUAACACGUAGAUAACCUACCCAAUAGAGGGGGAUAACCAUUGGAAACGAUGGAUAAUAUCGCAUGAUAUAGUCAGAAAAGGAGCAAUCUGCUGAUAGAUGGGCUUGCGUCUGAUUAGCUAGUUGGUGGGGUAACGGCCUACCAAGGCGACGAUCAGUAGCCGAGCUGAGAGGCUGGCCGGCCACAUUGGGACUGAGACACGGCCCAAACUCCUACGGGAGGCAGCAGUGGGGAAUAUUGCACAAUGGGGGAAACCCUGAUGCAGCGACGCCGCGUGAACGAAGAAGUAUUUCGGUAUGUAAAGUUCUAUCAGCAGGGAAGAUAAUGACGGUACCUGACUAAGAAGCACCGGCUAAAUACGUG